RNAcentral lists this ribosomal RNA (346 nucleotides) under uncultured bacterium. Its description in RNAcentral is "bacterial SSU rRNA". It matches the Rfam family "Bacterial small subunit ribosomal RNA", at positions 8 to 334 of the family's 1533-position model. The record is from RNAcentral.
AGGGUUUGAUUCUGGCUCAGGAUGAACGCUGGCGGCGUGCCUAACACAUGCAAGUCGAGCGAAGCGCUUAUCUUAGAUUUCUUCGGAAUGACGAGAUCUGCGACUGAGCGGCGGACGGGUGAGUAACGCGUGGGUAACCUGCCCUGUACAGGGGGAUAACAGUUAGAAAUGACUGCUAAUACCGCAUAAGCCCACAGCUUCGCAUGAAGCGGUGGGAAAAACUCCGGUGGUACAGGAUGGGCCCGCGUCUGAUUAGCUAGUUGGUGAGGUAAGAGCUCACCAAGGCGACGAUCAGUAGCCGACCUGAGAGGGUGACCGGCCACAUUGGGACUGAGACACGGCCCAA